This 769-nucleotide ribosomal RNA is filed under the name uncultured crenarchaeote. RNAcentral describes it as "bacterial SSU rRNA". It matches the Rfam family "Archaeal small subunit ribosomal RNA", at positions 24 to 768 of the family's 1478-position model. Lineage: Archaea; Thermoproteati; Thermoproteota. The record is from RNAcentral.
CUACUGCUAUCGGGGUGGGACUAAGACAUGCAAGUUGAGCGUCUCUAAGCUAUGGUAGAGACGCGGCGUACGGCUCAGUAGCACGUGGCUAACCUACCCUUAGGACGGGGACAACCCCGGGAAACUGGGACUAAUAUCCGAUCGACUAGGAGGCCUGGAAUGGUUCUUAGUCAAAAAGGCGUUGAAACCAUGCUUUUCAACGUCGCCUAAGGAUGGGGCCGCGCCCGAUCAGGCUGUUGGUGGGGUAAUGGCUCACCAAACCUAUAACCGGUGCGGGCCGUGAGAGCGGGAGCCCGGAGAUGGGCACUGAGAUAAGGGCCCAGGCCCUACGGGGCGCAGCAGUCGCGAAAACUCCGCAAUGCGCGAAAGCGUGACGGGGCUACCCCGAGUGCCGUCCGCUGAGGAUGGCUUUUCCCCGGUGUAAUGAGCCGGGGGAAUAAGGAGAGGGCAAGUCUGGUGUCAGCCGCCGCGGUAAUACCAGCUCUCCGAGUGGUAGGGACGAUUAUUGGGCUUAAAGCGUCCGUAGCCGGCUUAGCAAGUCUCCUGUUAAAUUCAGCGACCUAAUCGUUGAGCCGCGGGAGAUACUACUAGGCUAGGAGGCGGGAGAGGCCGACGGUAUUCUCGGGGUAGGGGUGAAAUCCUAUAAUCCCGGGAGGACCACCAGUGGCGAAGGCUGUCGGCUAGAACGCGCUCGACGGUGAGGGACGAAAGCUGGGGGAGCGAACCGGAUUAGAUACCCGGGUAGUCCCAGCUGUAAACGAUGCGGGCU